UACGUAGGGUGCGAGCGUUGUCCGGAAUUAUUGGGCGUAAAGGGCUCGUAGGCGGUCUGUCACGUCGGGAGUGAAAACUCAGGGCUUAACCCUGAGCCUGCUUCCGAUACGGGCAGACUAGAGGUAUGCAGGGGAGAACGGAAUUCCUGGUGUAGCGGUGAAAUGCGCAGAUAUCAGGAGGAACACCGGUGGCGAAGGCGGUUCUCUGGGCAGUACCUGACGCUGAGGAGCGAAAGCUAGGGGAGCAAACGGG
This 253-nucleotide ribosomal RNA is filed under the name uncultured bacterium. RNAcentral describes it as "partial 16S ribosomal RNA". It matches the Rfam family "Bacterial small subunit ribosomal RNA", at positions 524 to 776 of the family's 1533-position model. The record is from RNAcentral.